GGUUCUAUGGUGUAAUGGUUAGCACAUGAGGUUCUGAGUUCCUCACCAGUCCAUCAGAUCUUCUCCUCAUGAUCCCGGUUCGAUUCCGGGUAGGACCU
RNAcentral lists this transfer RNA (98 nucleotides) under Pyricularia grisea. Its description in RNAcentral is "tRNA-Gln". It matches the Rfam family "tRNA". Rfam says of the family: Transfer RNA (tRNA) molecules are approximately 80 nucleotides in length. The record is from RNAcentral. Lineage: Eukaryota; Fungi; Ascomycota; Sordariomycetes; Magnaporthales; Pyriculariaceae.